AACGAACGCUGGCGGCGCGUCUUAAGCAUGCAAGUCGGACGGCAAGGAGGAGCUUGCUCCUUCCUAGAGUGGCGGACUGGUGAGUAACGCGUGGAUGACGUACCUCUCGGAUGGGGACAGCCGGCAGAAAUGCCGGAUAAUACCGAAUAAAGUCCUGUGGAGUAAAUACACAGGAUGAAAGCGGCUUCGGCCGCGCCGGGAGGGCGGUUUGCGUCCUAUCAGCUAGUUGGCGAGGUAAAGGCUCACCAAGGCGACGACGGGUACCGGCCUGAGAGGGUGAACGGACACAUUGGGACUGAGAUACGGCCCAGACUCCUACGGGAGGCAGCAGCUAAGGAUAUUCCGCAAUGGGGGAAACCCUGACGGAGCGACGCCGCGUGGACGAUGAAGGCCGGAAGGUUGUAAAGUCCUUUUGAUUGUGAAGAAUAAGCGAGACAGGCAAUGGUCCUUGUGGUGACGGUAGCAAUUGAAUAAGCACCGGCU
This 483-nucleotide ribosomal RNA is filed under the name Treponema sp. oral taxon 263. RNAcentral describes it as "bacterial SSU rRNA". It matches the Rfam family "Bacterial small subunit ribosomal RNA", at positions 29 to 498 of the family's 1533-position model. Lineage: Bacteria; Pseudomonadati; Spirochaetota; Spirochaetia; Treponematales; Treponemataceae. The record is from RNAcentral.